RNAcentral lists this non-coding RNA (130 nucleotides) under Echinostoma caproni. RNAcentral describes it as "Eukaryotic large subunit ribosomal RNA". It matches the Rfam family "Eukaryotic large subunit ribosomal RNA", at positions 822 to 954 of the family's 3401-position model. Lineage: Eukaryota; Metazoa; Platyhelminthes; Trematoda; Plagiorchiida; Echinostomatidae. The record is from Rfam by way of RNAcentral.
CCCGGUACAACGAAGUGCAGGAUAAAGCCAGAGGAAACUCUGGUGGAGGACCGCAGCGAUUCUGACGUGCAAAUCGAUCGUCAAACGUGAGUAUAGGGGCGAAAGACUAAUCGAACCAUCUAGUAGCUGG